RNAcentral lists this ribosomal RNA (460 nucleotides) under uncultured bacterium. Its description in RNAcentral is "partial 16S ribosomal RNA". It matches the Rfam family "Bacterial small subunit ribosomal RNA", at positions 338 to 795 of the family's 1533-position model. The record is from RNAcentral.
CCUACGGGAGGCAGCAGUGAGGAAUAUUGGUCAAUGGGCGGAAGCCUGAACCAGCCAAGUCGCGUGCAGGAUGACGGCCCUACGCUUUGUAAACUGCUUUUAUCCGGGAAUAACGCCCCUUACGUGUAGGUCUUUGCAUGUACCUGAUGAAUAAGCACCGGCUAAUUCCGUGCCAGCAGCCGCGGUAAUACGGAGGGUCCGGGCGUUAUCCGGAUUUAUUGGGUUUAAAGGGAGCGUAGGCCGCAUGUCAAGCGAGCGGUGAAAUGUCCGGGCGCAACCCGGGCCUUGCAGCGCGACCUGGCGUGCUUGAGUCCGCGGAAGGCAGGCGGAAUUCGUGGUGUAGCGGUGAAAUGCUUAGAUAUGACGAAGAACCCCGAUUGCGAAGGCAGCUUGCGGCAGCGGAACUGACGCUGAUGCACGAAAGCGCGGGUAUCGAACAGGAUUAGAUACCCGUGUAGUC